AUGUACAUUCUUACAUCAUAGCGUUAAUGCAUUGGAUGCCAUUCAAACUCCUCAAUUAAGCACGCUCAGGCUAGAGUAGUAAUGGGAUGGGUGACCACCCGAGAAGUAUUAGAAUUUUACAUG
Picea glauca (white spruce) is the source of this 123-nucleotide non-coding RNA. The record is from Rfam. Lineage: Eukaryota; Viridiplantae; Streptophyta; Pinopsida; Pinales; Pinaceae.